GCCUGGCUGGUUUAGUCGGUAGAACGCAUGACUCUUGAUCUUGGGGCUGUGAGUUCAAGCCCCACCUUGGGUG
This 73-nucleotide transfer RNA is filed under the name Ailuropoda melanoleuca (giant panda). It matches the Rfam family "tRNA". From Rfam's summary of the family: Transfer RNA (tRNA) molecules are approximately 80 nucleotides in length. Their secondary structure includes four short double-helical elements and three loops (D, anti-codon, and T loops). Lineage: Eukaryota; Metazoa; Chordata; Mammalia; Carnivora; Ursidae. The record is from Rfam by way of RNAcentral.